UGACACCCUACGGGAGGCAGCAGUGGGGAAUUUUGGACAAUGGGCGAAAGCCUGAUCCAGCAAUGCCGCGUGUGUGAAGAAGGCCUUCGGGUUGUAAAGCACUUUUGUCCGGAAAGAAAUGGCUCUGGUUAAUACCUGGGGUCGAUGACGGUACCGGAAGAAUAAGGACCGGCUAACUACGUGCCAGCAGCCGCGGUAAUACGUAGGUCCAAGCGUUAAUCGGAAUUACUGGGCGUAAAGCGUGCGCAGGCGGUUGUGCAAGACCGAUGUGAAAUCCCCCGAGCUUAACUUGGGAAUUGCAUUGGUGACUGCACGGCUAGAGUGUGUCAGAGGGGGUAGAAUUCCACGUGUAGCGGUGAAAUGCGUAGAUGUGUCA
This 376-nucleotide ribosomal RNA is filed under the name uncultured bacterium. RNAcentral's name for it is "bacterial SSU rRNA". It matches the Rfam family "Bacterial small subunit ribosomal RNA", at positions 333 to 701 of the family's 1533-position model. The record is from RNAcentral.